AGCAGCCGCGGUAAUUCCAGCUCCAAUGGCGUAUAUUAAAGUUGUUGCAGUUAAAAAGCUCGUAGUUGAAUUUCGGGGUUAGCAGGUCGGUCGUGCCAUCGGUAUGAACUGGUCUCGCUGAUCCCUCCCUCUUGACGAACUGUGAUGCCAUUAAUUUGGUGUCGCAGGGAAUCAGGACUGUUACUUUGAAAAAUUAGAGUGUUUAAAGCAGGCUCACGCUUGAAUACAUUAGCAUGGAAUAAUGAAAUAGGACGUUUGAUCCUAUUUUGUUGGCUUCUAGGAUUGACGUAAUGAUUAAUAGGGAUAGUUGGGGGCAUUAGUAUUCAAUUGCCAGAGGUGAAAUUCUUGGAUUUAUUGAAGACUAACUACUGCGAAAGCAUUUGCCAAGGAUGUUUUCAUUAAUCAAGAACGAAAGUUAGGGGAUCGAAGACGAUCAGAUACCGUCGUAGUCUUAACCAUAAACUAUGCCGACUAGGGAUCGGAUGAUGUUAAUUUUUAAUG
This 501-nucleotide unclassified non-coding RNA is filed under the name uncultured Glomus. RNAcentral's name for it is "SSU rRNA". It matches the Rfam family "Eukaryotic small subunit ribosomal RNA", at positions 569 to 1075 of the family's 1831-position model. The record is from RNAcentral. Lineage: Eukaryota; Fungi; Glomeromycota; Glomeromycetes; Glomerales; Glomeraceae.